GAAAUUACUUUCCUCUCUUUUCCUUCUUCUGGUUGGCAGCUGAAUUCAUAUAAAUCCAGACCAAGAAGAAAGGAAUAGGUAUACACACAUACAAUAUAUAUAUAUAUAUACAUUACAGCAAAUACACAUUAUAGUCACACAAACACGCGCAUACAUGAAUAUAUAUGUAUUUAUUAGUCGCGUGUGUCGAAGUCUACACACUCGCCGAUGUGUUUAUACUUACCUAUUGGUAUGUCCAUAAAGUAAUAUAUACACUGUUGGCUCUUAUGUAUAGUAAUGCUUGUCAAUUAGUGUAUG
Molecule: long non-coding RNA, 297 nt
Filed under: Octopus vulgaris (common octopus)
Lineage: Eukaryota; Metazoa; Mollusca; Cephalopoda; Octopoda; Octopodidae
Source: RNAcentral